This 505-nucleotide ribosomal RNA is filed under the name uncultured bacterium. RNAcentral describes it as "partial 16S ribosomal RNA". It matches the Rfam family "Bacterial small subunit ribosomal RNA", at positions 28 to 507 of the family's 1533-position model. The record is from RNAcentral.
GACGAACGCUGGCGGCGUGCCUAAUACAUGCAAGUAGAACGCACAGUUUAUACCGUAGCUUGCUACACCAUAAACUGUGAGUUGCGAACGGGUGAGUAACGCGUAGGUAACCUGCCUGGUAGCGGGGGAUAACUAUUGGAAACGAUAGCUAAUACCGCAUAAUAUUGAUUAUUGCAUGAUAAUUGAUUGAAAGAUGCUAUUGCAUCACUACCAGAUGGACCUGCGUUGUAUUAGCUAGUAGGUGAGGUAACGGCUCACCUAGGCGACGAUACAUAGCCGACCUGAGAGGGUGAUCGGCCACACUGGGACUGAGACACGGCCCAGACUCCUACGGGAGGCAGCAGUAGGGAAUCUUCGGCAAUGGACGAAAGUCUGACCGAGCAACGCCGCGUGAGGGAAGAAGGUUUUCGGAUCGUAAAGCUCUGUUGUAAGAGAAGAACGGGUGUGAGAGUGGAAAGUUCACACUGUGACGGUAGCUUACCAGAAAGGGACGGCUAACUACGUG